RNA transcript from Gossypium raimondii (Peruvian cotton), 2700 nucleotides. RefSeq lists it as uncharacterized. NCBI's taxonomy places the organism in Eukaryota, Viridiplantae, Streptophyta, Magnoliopsida, Malvales, Malvaceae. The record is from RefSeq and is a predicted model, not a curated record. The transcript has 6 exons.
CUUAUGUAGUAAUUAGACCAUUAGUUAGUGAUGGACAAAAAAAUGGACAUAAAAUAAGUGAAAUAGGAAUUUUUUUAAGUAAGGGUAUUUUAGUCAUCUAGCAAAUAAAUAGAAUUAAAAUGGGAAAAAGAUGUAAAAAUGGGUUUCAUCAUCUUUGUUGCUGUCGAAAAUUUAAAGAAGCCAUAGCUAGGGUUUCUUUACUUCUUCAAGCUCAUAAUCAAGAGAGACGUGGAAACAACCUCGAUAAGGGAAAAGAAAAGAUUGUGGAUUGAAUUGUAAAAUUUCUUAUAUUUUGCAUCGAGUGAUAUCAAUCAGCUCGGAAAUUGGACAGAGUCGGAACAUCAUCCACACUAUCUACAUCUUUUGUAAAUGGAUCUUGACCGAGCUGUAGCAGAUGAUGUAGAAAGUAAUGUGCCGGCUCCCACGCAAGGGACCGCGCCUGAGAAAAAUAGACAUGAAACACAAAGUCAGGAUGGGGCUCGAGAAGCCUUUCUUCAUAUGAUGAACAAUUGGUACACUGAAUUUAUUCGAGCAAAUCCGAAUGCACAACCUCCUCCACCCCCUCCUAUUCCCCAACCAGUUCCUGUAGCUUCACAAGGUGUUGAAUUGGUAAAACCGAGUAAACCCCCAGUUGAUAAAAUCCGAAAACAAGGGGCGAAAGAUUUCAGGGCUAAUAUAGAUGAUGAUUCUGAGAAGGCAGAACUUUGGCUUGAAAACUCUAUCCGGGUAUUUGAUGAAUUAUCAUGUACUCCUGAAGAAUGUUUAAAAUGUGCUAUAUCCUUACUGAAAGAUUCAGCAUAUCGUUGGUGGAAAACAUUGGUAUCUGUGGUUCCGAAAGAAAGGGUUACAUGGGAUUUCUUCCAGGAGGAAUUCAGAAAAAAAUACAUAAGCCAAUGGUUCAUCGAUAAAAAACGUAAGGAAUUUCUUGAGUUGAAGCAAGGUCAAAUGUCUGUGGCAGAGUAUGAAAUAGAGUUUGUUAGACUGAGUAAAUAUGCUCAAGAGUGUGUGCCCACAGAAGCUAUUAUGUGUAAAAGGUUUGAAGAUGGGUUAAAUGAAGAUAUCAGAAUGUUUGUUGGGAUGUUAGAACUGAAGGAAUUUGUGGUACUGGUUGAUCGAGCUUGCAAGGCUGAAGAAUUGAAUAAAGAGAAGAGAAAAGUUGUGAUUGAGGCUCGAGAUGCAAGAAAGAGACCAAUGAGUAAAUCAUUUCAAACUCAGUCAAAGAAGUCUAAAGAGAUGAAUCCUCGAUUGACAAUUUCAACUGGAUAUUCACGCCGAGACUGGGGAAAAUCAUAUUCGAGUCCUGAAGCUCAAGCUACUUCAGUAGCAAGUGUGGGGAGUAUGAAGCCUAAUAAACCUGAGUGUCAGCAUUGUGGUAGGCAACAUCCUGGUGAGUGCUGGUUACUUAGCCGAGCUUGUUUCAAGUGUGGUUCUCGACAACACUACAUUAAAGAUUGCCCUGAGAAAGUUGAAGAAGAAAAAUUUCAGAAUGUUAGAUCGGGUGAUACUGUUAACAGAGGUAGACCACUGAGAAAUACCGGAAGCAGAGCUAGUGGUAAAAGUGUAAUGAAAGAUACAGCUGUGAGACCAGAACAUCGAACACUUACUCGAGCUUAUGAUAUACGUACUCGUGAGGAAGCAGCAUCUCCUGAUGUGAUUACUGGUACAUUCUCUCUCUAUGAUACUGAAGUUAUUGCUUUGAUUGAUCCCGGGUCUACUCAUUCUUAUGUAUGUGUGAAUUUAGUAUCUAAUAAGAAUUUGCCUGUUGAAAAUACUGAAUUUGUGGUUAAAGUGUCAAAUCCUUUAGGCAAAUAUGUGGCAGUCGAUAAGGUUGGCAAGAAUUAUCCUUUGAGGAUUCAAGGUCAUUGCUUCCCGGCUAAUCUAAUGUUGUUACCAUUUGAUGAGUUUGAUGUUAUUCUGGGGAUGGAUUGGUUGAUGUUGCAUGAUGCCAAGGUAAAUUGUAGGCAGAAAAUCCUUGAAUUGAAGUGUGAAAAUGGUGAAAUUCUUCGGGUUGAAACAGAUGAAUCAAGUAAAUUGCCUACGGUGAUUUCGAAUAUAUCGGCUCAAAAAUACAUGAGAAAAGGGUGUGAAGCUUAUCUUGCUUAUGUGAUAAAUACUAAGAUAUCGGAGUCGAAGCUUGAAUCGGUACCGGUAGUCUGUGAGUUUCCAGAUGUAUUUCCAGAGGAAUUGCUUGGGUUACCUCCGAUUAGGGAAGUUGAAUUUGCUAUUGAUCUGUUACCUGGUACUGCACCGAUCUCUAUUGCUCUGUAUAGAAUGGCUCCAACUGAAGUGAGAGAAUUAAAAGAUCUGUAACAGCCCGAUUUUGGGCCUAGUCGGAACAGUGGUUUCGGGACCACAAAUCCGACGAGAUCAAGAAAGACGAGGAGACAACCUCAAUCGGGGAAAAGUGAAGAUCGCAGAGUAAAUUGCAAAAUUACAAUAUUUUGCACCGAGUGACAUCAAUCAGCUCGGAAAUUGGACGAAGUCAGAACAUCAUCCACACUAUCAUCAUCUUUUGGGUAUUUUGCAACCAAUACUUUGAAACAUGGCAUGUAUAGAUGACUUAAUGUAAUGAAGUAUAAAUAUGUAUAUAAAAUAUUGUUCAGUUUAAAAUGUUGGUGUUUAUUAUUGGAUAAAUUGUGUCUGAACAUAUAACUGUAUUUGGUUGAAAUAUUGAAAUCGUUUGAAAUUGUGUUUUGAAAA